RNAcentral lists this ribosomal RNA (277 nucleotides) under uncultured bacterium. RNAcentral's name for it is "partial 16S ribosomal RNA". The record is from RNAcentral.
CUGCUGCCUCCCGUAGGAGUCUGGUCCGUGUCCCAGUACCAGUGUGGGGGACCUUCCUCUCAGAACCCCUACGCAUCGUCGCCUUGGUGGGCCGUUACCCCCGCCAACAAGCUAAUGCGACGCAUGACCAUCCGUAGCCGGAAUCGCUUCCUUUAAACCCACAGAGAUGCCUCCAUGGGUUGUUACGCGGUAUUAGACGGAAUUUCUUCCGCUUAUCCCCCUGCUACGGGCAGGUUUCAUACGUGUUACUCACCCGUGCGCCGGUCGCCGGCGGGAG